This 869-nucleotide ribosomal RNA is filed under the name uncultured archaeon. RNAcentral describes it as "bacterial SSU rRNA". It matches the Rfam family "Archaeal small subunit ribosomal RNA", at positions 1 to 878 of the family's 1478-position model. The record is from RNAcentral.
CUCCGGUUGAUCCCGCCGGACCUGACUGCUAUCGGAUUGGUACUAAGCCAUGCGAGUCGUUGUAGCAAUACAAGGCGGACGGCUCAGCAACACGUAGUCAACCUAACCUAUGGACGUGGAUAACCUCGGGAAACUGAGAAUAAACCGCGAUAGAUCAUUAUGCCUGGAAUGGCUUAUGGUUCAAACAAUUUAUUGCCGUAGGAUGGGACUGCGGCCUAUCAGCUUGUUGGUGAGGUAAUGGCCCACCAAGGCUAUAACAGGUACGGGCUCUGAGAGGAGAAGCCCGGAGAUGGGUACUGAGACACGGACCCAGGCCCUAUGGGGCGCAGCAGGCGAGAAACCUUAGCAAUGUGCGAAAGCACGACUAGGUUAAUCCGAGUGAUUUCUGUUGAAGAAAUCUUUUGUCAGUCGUAAAACCACAGACGAAUAAGGGGUGGGCAAGUCUGGUGUCAGCCGCCGCGGUAAUACCAGCACCUCGAGUGGUCAGGAGGUUUAUUGGGCCUAAAGCAUCCGUAGCCGGCUACGCAAGUCUCCGGUUAAAUCCAGCUGCUCAACAGAUGGGCUGCCGGAGAUACUACAUAGCUAGGGAGCGGGAGAGGUAGACGGUAUUCUGUGGGUAGGGGUAAAAUCCACUGAUCCAUAGAGGACCACCAGUGGCGAAGGCGGUCUACCAGAACGCGUUCGACGGUGAGGGAUGAAAGCUGGGGGAGCAAACCGGAUUAGAUACCCGGGUAGUCCCAGCUGUAAACGAUGCAAACUCGGUGAUGCAUUGGCUUAUGGCCAAUGCAGUGCCGCAGGGAAGCCGUUAAGUUUGCCGCCUGGGAAGUACGGACGCAAGUCUGAAACUUAAAGGAAUUGGCGGGGGAGCA